CUUCGAAGUAGAUGCCCCGUGCGUGGACGCCGCCGCCGCAGCGAGGCGCAGCUGCGCUCCCAGGCCUUCCGGUUCCGGACCACGGAACACGCGGCGGCGUGCAGCCUGUCGACGCCCUCCGCCACUGAAACGCCCGUGCACCUUGUUGGCGGCGAAGAAACAGGGCGCCUUCUCGCAGCCGCUGGAGUCCAGGACCAGGACGUCGAAGGAGCAGCCGCUGCCGCUGCCGCCGCCGCCGCCGCGCGUGAAGACCACGAGGUCGUCCUCCUGUAGCUCGUGCGCUCUGGCGAAGUCGCCCCAUCCUGACCCGAGGAGCAGCUCGUCGGCGUCGGCGUUCCUUGCGACGUCGACGAGCCACGUCGCGCCGCUCGGCGAUUUCAGGCUCAGCGUUUCGGUGAGCUGCCCAUUUGGAUCGCUCACGAACUUCUCCGAAUGGGUAGAAUCCCUCAUUACUCCCCUCCAAAAGGCUCCUUCGGGCGGAAGGACAUCUCUACCUUAAUGGAUCAUUUUUCAUGGGAUUGCAAUGCCAAUGGCUGGGGAUGGUAGGACCAUUCUUCUCUCGCAGGAUGUAUGGAACAGCUCUCGGCUCAGGCAGACUUACCCUUGCUUGUACUCUUUUGCUAAAAAGGAAGAUUGCUCCCUCGCGGAAUAUCUUGGCAAUCAAAAUCUUGAGGAAAAUUUCCAUUCUCCUUUGUCCCCGGAAGCUCUUGAGGAAUAUUUGGAAUUAUGUAACUUUGUUAAUUUGAUCCAGCAUGAUGGGAGAGGAAAAGACAAGUGGAUUUAUGUCUGGGGCAAUGACAACUUCAGUUCCACCUGAAUUUAUAAUUUGAACUUUCAAUGUGUUCGGCCACCUCCUCCAUUUCUCUGGAUUUGGAAGUCCAAAGUUUGCAAAAAGCUGAAGGUUUUCAUUUGGCUAGUAUUCAGGGCAGAAUCAACUCAAGGAAUUUGCUAAGAAGAAAGGGCUACGAUUUACCAAAUAAUGAUCAUUGCGGUAUGUUAUGCGAGAUGAACUGCGAAUAGACCACUUAUCAUCUAAUAUUCGAGCGCCCAUUUAGUAGUGAAUGCUGGAAUUAUGUGGGUAUACACUGGGAGCAUCAUUUAGAAUUCUUACGGAUGAUAUCUGAUGCAAGAGCUACCUAUGCAGGACCCUUUUUCUGGAAGUGCUGGCUAUCACUGCUUGGGAAAUUUGGAGACAACGAAAUUCGGCUAUCUUCAGAGAAUCUGUUCCGUCUUUCAAUUCCGGGAGGACCUGAAGCUUCAGAUGAUCAGAUUUAGCGCUGAACUUAAAAUGCUUGUCUCAUUGUGGCUUUCUUC
RNA transcript from Zea mays, 1314 nucleotides. RefSeq lists it as uncharacterized. The transcript has 2 exons. The record is from RefSeq and is marked validated. Lineage: Eukaryota; Viridiplantae; Streptophyta; Magnoliopsida; Poales; Poaceae.